Molecule: ribosomal RNA, 274 nt
Filed under: uncultured bacterium
Lineage: Bacteria
Description: partial 16S ribosomal RNA
Rfam family: Bacterial small subunit ribosomal RNA
Source: RNAcentral
CUACGGAGGGUGCAAGCGUUAUUCGGAAUCACUGGGCGUAAAGGGUGCGUAGGCGGUUUGAUAAGUCUGAUGUGAAAUCCUAUGGCUCAACCAUAGAACUGCAUUGGAAACUGUCAAACUAGAAUACUGAAGGGGCAGAUGGAAUUAGUGGUGUAGGGGUAAAAUCCGUAGAUAUCACUAGGAAUACCGAAAGCGAAAGCGAUCUGCUGGGAAGUUAUUGACGCUGAGGCACGAAAGCGUGGGGAGCAAACGGGAUUAGAUACCCCGGUAGUCC